RNAcentral lists this small RNA (365 nucleotides) under Arabidopsis thaliana (thale cress). RNAcentral's name for it is "ATSL036800". The record is from RNAcentral. Lineage: Eukaryota; Viridiplantae; Streptophyta; Magnoliopsida; Brassicales; Brassicaceae.
AAUUAUAGAAACACUAAAAAAACUAUUUAUUGUUUCUAAGCAAUAUUUUGUUGGUUGUAGCUUCUUUUGGGAGUAAAUGGGUAUAAGUGUUGGCUAAACACUUGUAAUCCAUCUCUAAAUCUAUAAUUAGUCAAAUGCAUUGGAUAAUAAAACAUUUUGACCAUCGACACACUAACAAAGCUAUUUACUGCUUCUAAGCAAAUUUUUGUUGGUUUUAGCCUCUUUUGGGAGAAAAUGGGUAUAAUUGUUGUCUAAACACUCCUAAUCCAUCUCUAACUCUAUAAUUAGUCCAAUGCAUGCGAUUGUGAAACAUUUUGACUAUAGAAACACUAACAAAUCUAUUGACUGCUUUUAAGCAAAUUUUU